Molecule: unclassified non-coding RNA, 338 nt
Filed under: soil metagenome
Description: partial contains 5.8S ribosomal RNA, internal transcribed spacer 2, and large subunit ribosomal RNA
Rfam family: 5.8S ribosomal RNA (bases 4-121)
Source: RNAcentral
GAUUGAAGAACGUAGCGAAAUGCGAUAAGUAAUGUGAAUUGCAGAAUUCAGUGAAUCAUCGAAUCUUUGAACGCACAUUGCGCCCGUCAGUAUUCUGGCGGGCAUGCCUGUUCGAGCGUCAUUUCAACCAUCAAGCCCCCGGGCUUGUGUUGGGGACCUGCGGCUGCCGCAGGCCCUGAAAAGCAGUGGCGGGCUCGCUGUCACACCGAGCGUAGUAGAUUUUAUCUCGCUCUGGGCGUGCUGCGGGUUCCGGCCGUUAAACCACCCUUUUAACCCAAGGUUGACCUCGGAUCAGGUAGGAAGACCCGCUGAACUUAAGCAUAUCAAUAAGCGGAGGA